This is an RNA transcript of Canis lupus familiaris (dog), 3878 nucleotides long. It is a transcript of the gene named translation initiation factor IF-2-like, with no coding region annotated. The transcript has 6 exons. Lineage: Eukaryota; Metazoa; Chordata; Mammalia; Carnivora; Canidae. The record is from RefSeq and is a predicted model, not a curated record.
GCGGCCGGCCUUCGGUGGGUGCGGAUGGCCGGACUGGCUCCGGGUGGAGCCGGGAGCGCAGGCUCCGUGGGUCCCGGUCAAGGAGCGCGGGCCGAGUGGGGGAGGGGGCUCCGGAGCCCCAGAGCUUCCUCUCCCCAAUUCCCAGGCGCUGGGCGCUGGGGAGGGGCGUCGGAGCAGAAGGACCUCGGGCUCCGGGGCCCAGGCGCCUUGCCCGCCGCUCUGGGGGCCCGAAGCACUGGGUAGCGCGAGGGAAGAGGGCUGAGCUGAGCUGGGGGACGUCUGGAGGGGUGGCGCGCGGGGGGGCGCCAGCACCCUGGAUCUCUCAGAGAGUGGAGGAGUUUGGGAGGAACGGGUCAGCCCGCGGGGCCCCCCUGGCCGCUCCGACUUCCGGAUCUGGGGUUUGGAGCCCGUACAGUCCGAGGUCACAAAAUUGCCACCACCGCGUCUGCUUUAAUCCUGGGCCAGGCAACUAACUGGCAAGACUGCGUACAGGUGGUGCGGGGAGAAAGGGCGCUUGAGCUGGAGAGUGUGUUUCUCCUACGAGGACCUACUGGGCGUUGAUUUACAAAAUCAGCCCCAACCCCAGCAGUCUCAACUCCACCCGGAGAGGUGCCUGAGAGACUCAGUCCUUGCUUGCCGUUACCCGGAAAGCCAAGAGGUCCGCAAGCCUCCCGGUUGGAGCAGCUGCACCCACUCGGCCUUGCUCGGCUCCGUGAGGCCAGUUUGUCCUGGGGGGCCCCCAGGACUUCGGGGGGCGGGGGCUGGCCCGGCAGCCCGCGGUUUGGGCCUCCCCGCAAGCUACAAUCCGAGGCGCUUGGCGCGGGCGGCCGAGGAGGGCGCAGGGGAGUGCAGCACGUAGGCGGGGAGGCCGCGAAGCCCUUCAAGGACCCCGAUUACUUUCCUUUGAAUGAAAAACAACAACAACAACAACAACUGCUCCCUCCCUGCGCCCCCGCCCCCCGCCUUAGCCUCCGGGGACCCGCGCUCCGAGCAAUUGUCGCCCCGGACAGUAAACACAGCUCAGUUGCCUCAACUUUCUCCGCACAUAAAAGUUCCUGGCGUGCGGGGAAAUUUGAAUAUUUGAUCAGCCCCUUUGAGUGACCCUCAUUAGCUUGGCGCCCUGCUAAGGCCCCGGCAUUGCAAGAAAGCUGCUGGGCAAGGCAUUUGUAUGCCUUGUUAGCGCCGCUUAAUGAAGCUGCCCCGACGGCUCAAAGGCGGCCUCCGGGGCCGGCGCUGCGCACCUCUCGGCACCCCACUCUGCCUAAUGAGCCCCACCACCCGCGCAAGGCCCCUCCACCCCCCACAUCCUCAAACAAGAGAAGUUGGCUCUGUCUUGGCCCACCAUACCUCCCACUGCCAGGCCCAGGAGAGUGGGCACAAACCGUUCCCAGCUGGCUGUGGUGACCCAGCCCCAAGAGUGAGAGGUGGGAGGCUUGGGGGUUGUGAGUGAUAGGGGCUGGGGAGGAGGGCUGUGGCCUCAGGUCUAGUCCAGGGAGUGCACUGGCAACCUCUCAAGAGGGCCAAUUUCCAAUCGUUUACUCCAGGUGCAUUCGGACCAAUGCUGGGGUGGCAGAGGGCAGAUGUCUGGGGGAAGGUCAAUUUUCAAUCUCCCUCCCUUCCCAAGUUUCUUUGGGCUCCACUGCCUAGGAGACCAUCAAAUCCUUUGCAGAGAUCCCCUUGGGAGAGCCAGAACUGGUAUGCUAGGGCUUGAAUUUGAGAAGGAGUGGGUACACUCAACUCCUCAGACAUUGUUGUCCCUCCAACCCGGAUCCCAAACAGUCAAAUGCAGUUGGCACUACUAGGAAAGGCAAUGGCACAACAGCCUACCUUGUCCCACUUCCCCUGCCCCAGAACACCAAGCCUUCUGUGGUCUCUCUUUAAUCCUGCUUCCAGUCCUUGGGAAGCUUAUAGAAAGCAUUUUAGGCAGGGCCACCCUUUUCAGGACCAACUGGCUGCUAGGGCAAGAUGGUACUAAAACAGACCUGAGGGCGAGGGAGAGAGGGAGAACUCUUUAAGGUAGGGGCACCAAAGCCACCAUCUACUUCUCCUUUUCUCAGUGGGGCAAGUGACACGGUUGGCCAGCAAAUCUAAGGAGCCCUAUUAAAAGUUGUGUUUCAGUUCUCUGGAAAAGGAGUAGACUCUCUCUGCUCCAUCUCUCCUCCAAUGCUCAUUUCCCUUGGACAGUUGUCACUCAAGGUCCCUCCUUGCACACCCAGUUUUUGGGUUUUUAAGCAUCACUUUUGGGGGGGGGAGAGAUUAAUGCACUGUGUUUAGGAAACAAGCUUCUCUCAGAUCCAUGCUCUGGGCCUUCUGGAGGUACCCCCCACAGUCCCUCAGAUAUACAGCAGGCUGGCCAGGUGCCUAGCCUCAGGACCCCAUUCCAGGGUGGCCACCUCUAGGAAUGAGUGGCACCCAGCCAGCCCUCACCCUCUGCCAAAAAGCCAGCAAGGCCCUGGGAUAGCAGAGCCUUCAAAGUCCCUCUGGUCUGCUCCUCUUCCCUUUCCCCCAGCUCAAUCGGCUUGCCCCACCCCAUUUCCCAUCCCAGGACCCCCUAAUUCAAGCCCAAACUGAGGAUCUUUAGGGAUCAUCUCUACCCCGGCAAGACGGUGCCUGGGCCUUGAUCCAUCCAAAGGGCAAAGCCGCCUGGCCGACCGGAGCGUAGAGCUGCUAGCCAGACUGGCCGCGCCAGGGGACUGCCAGAGAAAGAAUUUCCUUUUUCCAACUUCGGCUUUUGAUUUUGUGUGUCCACUUGGAGCAGCUCUGGAGCCGACUGACCCCAAAUGAAUUCCCAACAGGUGGCCGGGUUGCCCACGCACGCGGUCCUUGCAAGUACGGGGUCGCGAGCCUCAGCUCCCGAGCCGAGCCGCGAGCGGAGCCGCCCUCCUACUCCCCCCGCCCCCCCACUCCCCGGCUGUCAAGAGCCCUUCCGCCCGGCCACCGGUGCCCCGGGAAUGACUGGGGGAGCUGGGAGGGCCCCCAGGAAUGGGGCUCAGGGAGGAUCUUACCUGCGGAAAGGUAAGGGAAGCCGGGAGCAGGAAGCAGCGGCGGAUAAAUAUUCAUUAGGAAGUUCUGGAUCCCCGGCUGGGGACUGGGUCGGCAGUGAGAUGCCAGGUCUGCAGGUUCCGCGCGCGGGAUUGGAACUUCAACCUGCACUGGGAACAAACUGACCUGAAGUUAGAUUCAAGUCCGCAUCUUUCUCCCUCACGCUCAUGAGAAAACACAUCAACGGGAUUCCAGGAAGGCGCAAGUCCCCGCAGGAUCCCUCUGAGAAUCGCUUGCAGCGGCAGGCGAGCACGCACACACCCCCGUCCCCACCCCCGCACACCCCAGGCCCAAGCUUCUCGCGCCCCCAGACUGGAAGGCGAGCCGGCCCUCAAGGCGGCUCCCGACAGAGCUCCGUUUGCCUGCCUAGUCUGGGCGAACCUUCCAGACAGGAGCCACCAUGGUUUCCCUGCAGAAGAGGCAGGCACGCUGGACGCCAUGGUGCCCUCCCUUCUACUUCACCUCCCUUCCUGACUCUCUCUCUCUCUCUCUGAAAGCAGAGGGUAAGUUUGGGAAGAUUCUUUUAGACAAAAAAAUAGGAGAAAAAGAGGACGUUCUGGGCCAGCAAGUCGGAUGACCGCCCUCCAAGGAGCAGAGGAAGGUCUGUCUUCUGAAGAAGAGACGAACCAUCUGGAAACCACGGCAGGAGGACACUUUUAAACAAAUGUGGUUGCCCUAGAAAUGGAGGGGUUUGAGACCAUGAGUAGGGAAGAAUUUCUUUCCUUUGGAGAAGACUGUGUCCUUUUAAUUUCCUCCCGAAUAUACACUUAAUUCCUGGAAAUUGUAGUAAGAGUUUGUUCUUUAUAGAUGUUCUAAACAAUAAAGAGUGAAAAUCA